AGAGUUUGAUCAUGGCUCAGAACGAACGCUGGCGGCGUGGAUAAGACAUGCAAGUCGAACGGGACUAUUUUUGUAGCAAUACGGAAAUAGUUUAGUGGCGAACGGGUGCGUAACACGUGGGCAAUCUGCCAAAAAGUGGGGGAUAGCUCGCCGAAAGGCGAAUUAAUACCGCAUGUGGUGAGAAUAGACAUCUAUUUGAAUCUAAAGUCGGGGCAACCUGACGCUUUUUGAGGAGCCCGCGGCCUAUCAGCUAGUUGGUGAGGUAACGGCUCACCAAGGCGAUGACGGGUAGCUGGUCUGAGAGGACGACCAGUCACACUGGAACUGAGACACGGUCCAGACACCUACGGGUGGCAGCAGUCGAGAAUUUUUCUCAAUGGGGGAAACCCUGAAGGAGCGACGCCGCGUGGAGGAUGAAGGCUUUCGGGUUGUAAACUCCUGUCAUUUGGGAACAAUGCCCCGGAUUUAACUGGUUCGGGGUUGAUAGUACCAGAAGAGGAAGAGACGGCUAACUCUGUGCCAGCAGCCGCGGUAAUACAGAGGUCUCGAGCGUUGUUCGGAUUCAUUGGGCGUAAAGGGUGCGUAGGUGGCACUGUAAGUCGGGUGUGAAAUCCCGGGGCUUAACCCCGGAACUGCAUUCGAUACUGCAGUGCUUGAGGACUGGAGAGGAGACUGGAAUUCAUGGUGUAGCAGUGAAAUGCGUAGAGAUCAUGAGGAAGACCAGUGGCGAAGGCGGGUCUCUGGACAGUUCCUGACACUGAGGCACGAAGGCCAGGGGAGCAAACGGGAUUAGAUACCCCCGUAGUCC
Molecule: ribosomal RNA, 808 nt
Filed under: uncultured bacterium
Lineage: Bacteria
Description: bacterial SSU rRNA
Rfam family: Bacterial small subunit ribosomal RNA
Source: RNAcentral